Molecule: ribosomal RNA, 433 nt
Filed under: uncultured bacterium
Lineage: Bacteria
Description: bacterial SSU rRNA
Rfam family: Bacterial small subunit ribosomal RNA
Source: RNAcentral
GAGCUUGCUCCACUGGAAUUCAGCGGCGGACGGGUGAGUAACGCGUGAGCAACCUGCCUUCAACAGGGGGAUAACGCAUCGAAAGAUGUGCUAAUACCGCAUGAGACCACAACAUCACAUGGUGAAGGGGUCAAAGGAGCAAUCCGGUUGAAGAUGGGCUCGCGUCCGAUUAGCUGGUUGGUGAGACAACAGCCCACCAAGGCGACGAUCGGUAGCCGACCUGAGAGGGUGAUCGGCCACAUUGGAACUGAGAUACGGUCCAGACUCCUACGGGAGGCAGCAGUGGGGAAUAUUGGGCAAUGGGCGAAAGCCCUGACCCAGCAACGCCGCGUGAGGGAAGAAGGGUUUCGGCUCGUAAACCUCUGUCCUGUGGGACGAAGGAAGUGACGGUACCACAGGAGGAAGCCCCGGCUAACUACGUGCCAGCAGCCGC